GGCGUAGGAGGCGAGCGUUGUCCGGAUUCAUUGGGCGUAAAGAGCACGCAGGCGGUUUGGCAAGUCGGACGUGAAAAUCCGGGGCUCAACCCCGGACCUGCAUCCGAAACUGCCCGACUAGAGGUAGGUAGGGGAGAUCGGAAUUCCUGGUGUAGCGGUGAAAUGCGCAGAUAUCAGGAGGAACACCGGUGGCGAAGGCGGAUCUCUGGGCCUUACCUGACGCUCAGGUGCGAAAGCUAGGGGAGCGAACAGG
RNAcentral lists this ribosomal RNA (253 nucleotides) under uncultured bacterium. Its description in RNAcentral is "partial 16S ribosomal RNA". It matches the Rfam family "Bacterial small subunit ribosomal RNA", at positions 524 to 776 of the family's 1533-position model. The record is from RNAcentral.